Molecule: ribosomal RNA, 202 nt
Filed under: uncultured bacterium
Lineage: Bacteria
Description: partial 16S ribosomal RNA
Rfam family: Bacterial small subunit ribosomal RNA
Source: RNAcentral
UGCAGUCUGCAACUCGACUGCACGAAGCUGGAAUCGCUAGUAAUCGCGGAUCAGCACGCCGCGGUGAAUACGUUCCCGGGCCUUGUACACACCGCCCGUCAAACCAUGAGAGUUGGCAACACCCGAAGUCGGUAGUCUAACCGCAAGGAGGACGCCGCCGAAGGUGGGGUUGAUGAUUAGGGUUAAGUCGUAACAAGGUACC